GGGGAUGAAAGGAAUCGACAAAAAUUUUUGUCAAAAUAGGCAGACAGAGCAUACUAGAAACUCUUUAAACCUUUUCUAGUAAAAGAAUAAGUGCCAACUUAUUUAAAAAACCUGCUUUGGCUUACGCCUAAAAGCAGCAUCCUCUUUAUUGAUUCUCGAUAGGUAAAGCAGGGUGUCAUAUUAUCGAGAUAGAUAGUUCCUUUUGUCUCGAAAACUAUCGAAAAAAAAGAGACAAAUAGUGGUACUAGAUUUGUCUGUUUGGUCUAGUAUUUCAAUGUUAAAACAGACUAAGUCUGUAGAAAUAUUUUGACAAAGUUUCUGGACAAGGGUUCAAUGCCCUUCAUCUCCACCA
Molecule: transfer-messenger RNA, 352 nt
Filed under: Candidatus Nealsonbacteria bacterium CG23_combo_of_CG06-09_8_20_14_all_37_18
Lineage: Bacteria; Candidatus Nealsoniibacteriota
Rfam family: transfer-messenger RNA
About the family: Bacterial tmRNA, also known as 10Sa RNA or SsrA, is named for its dual tRNA and mRNA-like properties.
Source: RNAcentral